Molecule: ribosomal RNA, 255 nt
Filed under: uncultured bacterium
Lineage: Bacteria
Description: partial 16S ribosomal RNA
Rfam family: Bacterial small subunit ribosomal RNA
Source: RNAcentral
UACGUAGGGUGCGGGCGUAAUCGGAAUUACUGGGCGUAAAGCGUGCGCAGGCGGUUUUGUAAGACAGGCGUGAAAUCCCCGGGCUCAACCUGGGAAUGGCGCUUGUGACUGCAAAGCUGGAGUGCGGCAGGAGGGGGGAUGGAAUUCCGCGUGUAGCAGUGAAAUGCGUAGAUAUGCGGAGGAACACCGAUGGCGAAGGCAAUCCCCUGGGCCUGCACUGACGCUCAUGCACGAAAGCGUGGGGAACAAACAGGA